AGAGUGCCCGGGACGAGCGCCUGCAGGAGGUUGUUCCCCAGGUAGAGCUCCUCCAGCCGCGAGAGCUUCUCGAAGGUCUUGGGGUGCAGAGCGCGGAUCUGGUUGUACUGCAGGUCCAGCCGUCUGAGCUGCCCCAGGCGGUGGAAGUCGAAGGCCGUGAUGUUGGUUAUGAAGUUGCCGCCGAGGCUGUAGGUGAGCACGUCCUGGGGGCUCGGCAGCGAGCUGGUCUUGGGCACUGCGCGGAGCCCCCUAUUGGUGCACAGGAGGUGCUGGGGGUGCUGGCAGUCGCACCGCUCUGGGCACACGGGCUGGGCCCGCGGCGGGAGCGCGAGGCAGCCGUACACCACAAGUAGGAAGCGCACGGCGCGGGCAGCCUCCAUCGCCGCCCGUCCUGCGUGCUGCGGCCGGAUCGUCCUCUUGGCCCGCCUGCUCUAUGUCUCCUCUGCAUUCCCCUUGGCCUGGCCAGAGUCGCUAAAUGGCCUCUUUCGGACUCCGCAGCGCGGUCCAGCCCCUCCUCCGCCCUUUGUCCGGUGGCUGGCCCGGGUCUCUGCAGGCGGGUUCCCCCAGCCAAGUCAGGCGGCGCGGGGCGCUCCGGGAGCUCCGGGUGCUACUUGUUGCAUUUCUGCACAAAACUGUUUCUCCGGGUGUGCGUCGGGGGGCGGAGGGAGGGAGGGAGUCAGACCUGAGCUUUUUGUUUGCAGCUGAGUCCGGAGAGUUGGAUUCCCUGGCACGGAUUCUCCCCGCCGAGCGGAUUCCCCAGCUGCAGGCGGGAGCCCUUCCAAGAGCUCCUCGGGGCGCGGCUUGGCUGCUGUGCCCCGGCGGCUCGGCCCCCGCAGCUCGCGCCUCCUGGCUCUCGGUCCCGGACCAGGAGCGCGGCCUCGGUGGAACAGCCGGGGGAGGAGCCGGGGGUGCGCAGGCUGCGUCCGGAAGGGACCCAAGUCGGCGAGUGGCGGGCAAACCGGGCGGAAAUUCGUUCUUCCCACACUCUGCCCCCCGGGGAUGCAGGCGGAGAAAGAGGAGACGGCGGAGGGGAGGACAGACCCCGACAGGGGGAGGAGGAAACGCUAAGUGGCUCCGCGUCUGGUCAGCCCAAGCCGGGGACGCCGAGUGAGAAAAGUAGGGAUUAAAAACAGCUGUACGGGUCGGCCCUGGACGCAGGGCUGGGGGCGGGGGGGGGUUACCGGGCCAACAAACGGAAUUUGCAGACAGAGACCUUUUUAUUUUAGAUGAGUACACCAGGCAUUUCGGAGCAUUGGGAGCACGGAUGCUCUUACUCGUUUUUAAGUCCCUUGCUCUUCCAGGUGCCACCCUGCGGGAAGUUCAGGCAGCACGGACUGCGCAAACAUUCUGUAAGACGUUUAGGGGAGCACCCCGUUGGCUACAAAGAGCUGUCGGUGGGCUAGAAGAGGCCAGGUCAGCCCCUUCUGAAUGUUGGGUGUUUGGAUUUUUGACGUGGCUGUCCAGGUAGCCCAGGAGAGGCAUCGCCUCCUUUAGGGAUCUGAACCGAGUAUUCGCUUGGCCCUGCUGUAGGUUAAGAGCCUGGAGAGUCUCAGAACUGGUUCUACCGCUGUGGAAGUGUUUCUGUCAGAUUUUGGUGAUUUAGUCCCAUUAAUCCUCCUCCAGUUGUACAGGCCUUGGGGUAGGCUCUGCACGUGUGCAUAUAUAUAUGUAUAAAACCUUCAUUGACCCUCUGGUAACUGCUGCCUGCGGG
RNAcentral lists this long non-coding RNA (1711 nucleotides) under Lynx pardinus (Iberian lynx). The record is from RNAcentral. Lineage: Eukaryota; Metazoa; Chordata; Mammalia; Carnivora; Felidae.